This 446-nucleotide ribosomal RNA is filed under the name uncultured bacterium. Its description in RNAcentral is "partial 16S ribosomal RNA". It matches the Rfam family "Bacterial small subunit ribosomal RNA", at positions 338 to 795 of the family's 1533-position model. The record is from RNAcentral.
CCUACGGGUGGCAGCAGGCGAGAAUCAUUCACAAUGGGGGAAACCCUGAUGGGGCGACGCCGCGUGGGGGAAUGAAGGUCUGCGGAUUGUAAACCCCUGUCAUGUGGGAGCAAAUUAAAAAGAUAGUACCACAAGAGGAAGAGACGGCUAACUCUGUGCCAGCAGCCGCGGUAAUACAGAGGUCUCAAGCGUGGUUCGGAAUCACUGGGCGUAAAGGGUGCGUAGGCGGUUUCGUAAGUCGUGUGUGAAAGGCGCGGGCUCAACCCGCGGACGGCACAUGAUACUGCGAGACUAGAGUAAUGGAGGGGGAACCGGAAUUCUCGGUGUAGCAGUGAAAUGCGUAGAUAUCGAGAGGAACACUCGUGGCGAAGGCGGGUUCCUGGACAUUAACUGACGCUGAGGCACGAAGGCCAGGGGAGCGAAAGGGAUUAGAUACCCCUGUAGUC